UACAGAGGGGGCAAGCGUUGUUCGGAAUUACUGGGCGUAAAGGGCGCGUAGGCGGCCGCCUAAGUCAGACGUGAAAUCCCUCGGCUCAACCGGGGAACUGCGUCUGAUACUGGGUGGCUUGAAUCCGGGAGAGGGAUGCGGAAUUCCAGGUGUAGCGGUGAAAUGCGUAGAUAUCGGCAGGAACACCCAGGGGGAAACCAGCCGACUGGGCAUAGGCUGACGCUGAGGUGCGAGAGCGUGGGGAGCGAACCGG
RNAcentral lists this ribosomal RNA (253 nucleotides) under uncultured bacterium. Its description in RNAcentral is "partial 16S ribosomal RNA". It matches the Rfam family "Bacterial small subunit ribosomal RNA", at positions 524 to 776 of the family's 1533-position model. The record is from RNAcentral.